Small nucleolar RNA from Artibeus jamaicensis (Jamaican fruit-eating bat), 134 nucleotides. RefSeq annotates it as small nucleolar RNA SNORA41. The transcript has a single exon. NCBI's taxonomy places the organism in Eukaryota, Metazoa, Chordata, Mammalia, Chiroptera, Phyllostomidae. The record is from RefSeq and is a predicted model, not a curated record.
UUCCACAGCUCCUGGUCUGCAGCUGCCCUGAUGGUGGCAGUUAUGGCACUCCUCUGUGGGAAAGGAACUGUUGUUACGCAGUUAAACACCUUUCUCAGCAAAGUAGAAAGUGGGCAUGUGUGUGACAGACGCAG